UACAGAGGAUCCAAGCGUUGUCCGGAUUGACUGGGCGUAAAGCGCGUGUAGGCGGCUUGGCAAGUCGGUUGUGAAAGCCCGGGGCCCAACCCCGGAAUUGCAUCUGAAACUGCCUCGCUAGAGUCCCGGAGAGGAAGGCAGAAUUCCCGGUGUAGGGGUGAAAUGCGCAGAUAUCGGGAAGAACACCCGUGGCGAAGGCGGUUCUCUGGGACGGUACUGACGCUGAGACGCGAAAGCGUGGGGAGCGAACAGG
Molecule: ribosomal RNA, 253 nt
Filed under: uncultured bacterium
Lineage: Bacteria
Description: partial 16S ribosomal RNA
Rfam family: Bacterial small subunit ribosomal RNA
Source: RNAcentral